RNAcentral lists this ribosomal RNA (250 nucleotides) under uncultured bacterium. Its description in RNAcentral is "partial 16S ribosomal RNA". It matches the Rfam family "Bacterial small subunit ribosomal RNA", at positions 524 to 775 of the family's 1533-position model. The record is from RNAcentral.
UACGGGGGGGGCAAGCGUUGUUCGGAAUUACUGGGCGUAAAGGCUCGUAGGCGGCCAACUAAGUCAGACGUGAAAUCCCUCGGCGUUAACCGGGAACUGCGUCUGAUACUGGAUGGCUUGAGAUUGGGAGAGGAUGCGGAAUUCCAGGUGUAGCGGUGAAAUGCGUAGAUAGUCUGGAGGAACACCGGUGGCGAAGGCGGCAUCCUGGACCAACACUGACGCUGAGGAGCGAAAGCCAGGGAGCAAACGG